GACGAACGCUGGCGGCGUGCUUAACACAUGCAAGUCGAACGGAAAGGCCCUGCUUUUGUGGGGUGCUCGAGUGGCGAACGGGUGAGUAACACGUGAGUAUCCUGCCCUUGACUUUGGGAUAUCUUCAGGAAACUGGGGCUAAUACCGGAUAGGAGCUCCUGCUGCAUGGUGGGGUUUGGACAGUUUCGGCGGUUGGGGAUGGACUGGCGGCUUAUUAGCUUGUUGGUGGGGUAGUGGCUUACCAAGGCUUUGACGGGUAGCCGGCCUGAGAGGUGGACCGGCCACAUGGGGACUGAGAGACGGCGCAGACGCCUACGGGAGGCAGCAGGGGGGAAUAUGGCACAAUGGGCGGAAGCCUGAUGCAGAAACGCCGCGUGCGGGAUGACGGCCUUCGGGUUGUAAACCGCUUUAGCCUGUGACGAAGCGGGAGUGACGGUAAUGGGUAAAGAAGCACCGGCUAACUACGUG
Molecule: ribosomal RNA, 468 nt
Filed under: uncultured bacterium
Lineage: Bacteria
Description: partial 16S ribosomal RNA
Rfam family: Bacterial small subunit ribosomal RNA
Source: RNAcentral